AGUGAACGCUGGCGGCGUGCCUAAUACAUGCAAGUCGAACGGAAUUUAAAAGAGCUUGCUCUUUUAAAUUUAGUAGCGCACGGGUGAGUAAUAUAUAGCUAAUCUGCCCCUUGCUGGAGGACAACAGUUAGAAAUGACUGCUAAUACUCCAUACUCCUUUUUACCAUAAGAUAAAUCGGGAAAGAAUUUCGGCAAGGGAUGAGACUAUAUCGUAUCAGCUAGUCGGUGGGGUAACGGCCUACCGAGGCUAUGACGCGUAACUGGUCUGAGAGGAUGAUCAGUCACAUUGGAACUGAGACACGGUCCAAACUCCUACGGGAGGCAGCAGUAGGGAAUAUUGCGCAAUGGGGGAAACCCUGACGCAGCAACGCCGCGUGGAGGAUGACACUUUUCGGAGCGUAAACUCCUUUUGUUAGGGAAGAAUAAGACGGUACC
This 435-nucleotide ribosomal RNA is filed under the name Campylobacter gracilis. RNAcentral describes it as "bacterial SSU rRNA". It matches the Rfam family "Bacterial small subunit ribosomal RNA", at positions 29 to 479 of the family's 1533-position model. Lineage: Bacteria; Pseudomonadati; Campylobacterota; Epsilonproteobacteria; Campylobacterales; Campylobacteraceae. The record is from RNAcentral.